RNAcentral lists this ribosomal RNA (434 nucleotides) under uncultured bacterium. Its description in RNAcentral is "partial 16S ribosomal RNA". It matches the Rfam family "Bacterial small subunit ribosomal RNA", at positions 29 to 508 of the family's 1533-position model. The record is from RNAcentral.
AACGAACGCUGGCGGCAUGCCUAACACAUGCAAGUCGAACGAGACCUUCGGGUCUAGUGGCGCACGGGUGCGUAACGCGUGGGAACCUGCCCUUAGGUUCGGAAUAACUCCCCGAAAGGGGUGCUAAUACCGGAUAAUGUCUUCGGACCAAAGAUUUAUCGCCUUUGGAUGGGCCCGCGUUGGAUUAGCUAGUUGGUAGGGUAAAAGCCUACCAAGGCGACGAUCCGUAGCUGGUCUGAGAGGAUGAUCAGCCACACUGGGACUGAGACACGGCCCAGACUCCUACGGGAGGCAGCAGGGGGGAAGAGUGGACAAUGGGCGAAAGCCUGAUCCAGCAAUGCCGCGUGAGUGAGGAAGGCCUUAGGGGUGGAAAGCUCUUUUACCCGGGAUGAUAAUGACAGUACCGGGAGAAUAAGCUCCGGCUAACUCCGUGC